Long non-coding RNA from Alexandromys fortis (reed vole), 1305 nucleotides. RefSeq lists it as uncharacterized. The record is from RefSeq and is a predicted model, not a curated record. Lineage: Eukaryota; Metazoa; Chordata; Mammalia; Rodentia; Cricetidae. The transcript is spliced from 5 exons.
GGCCAACUCACACGUUAGUGUUCAAACAAAACAGGUCUAACCAGGUUAUGCCUGUGUCUCAAGAACAGAGACAACCUGUUAAUGGAUGAGGAAUUGAUUUGGUGGUGACCGUGCCUUUCAGCUUAGAGGCAGUUUCAGGUACCAAGCGUGGAAGGAGCGUCUAGCCCAUUCUCUCUCGGGGCACCAUGACUGGCUCUUGGUAGUGACUCUUGACAGUUUUAGAGGACUUUGAACAGGCUUUUUCCCCAGCCCCAGGAUCCAGAAAAGAAAACCAAAACGCCAACAGAGUCUGAACAAGACAUGGACUGCUAAGGAGAUCUUCGGAUUUCCCAGAGCCCCAUCCCCCUGAGUCAAGGCUAUGCAGGGAGUUUCCUAUUCUUGCUUCACUGGGUCCCAAAUGUUUCUCCACCUGCACAGAGUAUGCUCCUGAAAGGGAUGCAGAAGACUGUCGUUAUCACCAGACUUCCACCAUUCAUCCUGUUUCUAAGACUCUCUGGGAGACAGAAGAAGGACAUAGAGUAAUGAGGUCAAGCUUUUGCAAAGGCAUGGAACCUGAGUCAAGUCCUGAUGGGGGUGUCUCAGUUAGUAAGGUGCCUACUGUACAUGCAUGAGAACCUUUGUUUGGAUCCCCAACAUCCAGGUAGAAAGCCCAGCAUGGCAGUGUGCACCUGCAAUCCUAGCCCCAGAGAUGCCAUGAGAAGAGUUCCCUAGGGCUUGCUGGCCAGCUAGUCCUGCAGAAUCACUGAGAGUCCCUGUCUCAAAACAAGGCAGAGAGUGACUGAAGAAAAUGUCAGUCUCUGGCUCUCUGUGCACAUGCGCUCAAGUGUAAACACACAUACACAUCACACACACGCAAAUGGUGCAGGCAGGGCAGACAGGAUUAUUUGCAGUGGCUUGGAGUUCCUGAGUUAGUUGGUUUGUCUGCUAAAAGAUCCCUAUCACAAAAUCAAGGAAGCAAAGGGACCUAACUGCUAAAUGGAGGCCAAGACAAAGAGUCUCUCUGAGAUUAUCAAGCCCUAAGGGGUCCAAGUCUCAGACAAAGCCCUGAUGUCAUUACAGGCCAAUGGCAGCAGGAUGUCCUUACUUUGCACACACAGAUGCUCACUUGCUUUACACUUCUGUUCCUAACUAGAAGCCUAUAUUUAUCUUUGAAAGCAAAUGUGUGUUUGUGUAUGUUUCAGUCUCUGAUUCUCUGCUGAUGAUAUAGAUCUACCCCAGGGCAGAAUGGGACAGCUGUGUAAUAAGAGACACAACAAAAAUAUUAAUACAAGCUGAACAGGAACAAGAGUUUCUCUCUCUCUCUCU